This 302-nucleotide unclassified non-coding RNA is filed under the name Basidiomycota sp. Its description in RNAcentral is "partial contains small subunit ribosomal RNA, internal transcribed spacer 1, and 5.8S ribosomal RNA". The stretch from base 1 to 47 matches the Rfam family "Eukaryotic small subunit ribosomal RNA", at positions 1785 to 1831 of the family's 1831-position model. The record is from RNAcentral. Lineage: Eukaryota; Fungi; Basidiomycota.
AAAGUCGUAACAAGGUUUCCGUAGGUGAACCUGCGGAAGGAUCAUUAAAGGUUAUGCCGAUUCCCAACCGCUCUCGCAGCGGCUUCGGCAGCCCCCAACCAUUCACCUUGUGCACGCAUCGUACAUAUGUUUUGGCAGAUUCUCCUGCACUUUCCCAGCUUUUGUCUCUUUUGAGAGGAAGGAAAAAGGGGGUUAGGGAGGUCUGCCAGACGUUUUCAAAUCAAUCCUUUUUGUUAACCGCCUGUCUGACUUUAAUACAAAGCAAAAAUAAACAACUUUCAACAACGGAUCUCUUGGCUCUC